GCUAUGAUGAAUUUGAUUGCGUUGAUCAUCUGAAAUGAUGUAGUUUGUCCUCUAAGAAGUUCUGAGCUU
This is a non-coding RNA of Pteropus alecto (black flying fox), 69 nucleotides long. The record is from Rfam. NCBI's taxonomy places the organism in Eukaryota, Metazoa, Chordata, Mammalia, Chiroptera, Pteropodidae.